GAGAGAGAAACACCAGUACAAGAGAGAAGCACUGAUGGGUUGUCUCGCAUUCUGGGGAAUCGGGAUCGUUAGUGCCUGGACCGGGGAUCAAACCUGCAGCCUAGUCAUGUGCCCUGAGGGGAAAUCGAACCCAGAACCUUUUGGUUACAGGAUGAUACUCCAACCAACUGAGCCACACAGACACGAGUGGCUGAGCUGUGAAGCGUGGCACCCCUGUUGGUUACCAUCCUUUUGGUAGGAGGCAGAUUGGGCAUCCAGUUUCUACCCCUGUGUGUUGGCAGGUGGCAGGCCCAGCAGAGGUGGCAGGAGCACCCAGUUAGAAUGGAUCCUCUCCCCAUACCGCUGGGCGCCUGAUCUGGCUGCAAUCCCUGUCGAUUCGAAUUUCCCAGGAUUUCUCCCUAGCCAGCUGGGGGGUGGGCUACUGUCAGUCUGAGAACUCCCAGUACCGCCUUUUUGUCAGGAAAUGAAAGGGUCAGCACCACCACAGGGAUUAAUCGUUAACCCCAGCUGACCAGUUACCUGGGCACCUGGGAAGUAAAAGUCCAUCAGAGACACACGCCCUGUGAUAAGGAAAUCCAAAGGGUGCCCGGUUAGCACUAGUGAAGGGUCUGCCAUCCACGAGGCAGGGCACUGGGAAGGCCUCUGAUUACCAUUUCUUCUCCCCGUUGAUGCCUGAAAGUUUACCAUUAACACUGGACUGGGCCUCAAAGAGAUCUCACCUCCAAGAUUUUGACUUUUUCUUCCCCCGAUUUGAGAAGCUAAUGAAAGCAGUGGAACUCACCACCUUCACCGACAGGUUUGCAUGUGGUCUUGGGGUUGGGAAUACCCCAUUCCCAGACACCAGGUGAAGAACUCCAGAGGGAAUUCAAUGGCUCCUGAGUUUCUAUUCUUUAAAAGAAGCACACUCCAGCGCCCGCUUUAAAAUGCAAAUGACCCUGGGAGGGUUGACAGGAUUAACCAGUCAGUGUGGAAGUUUGUCCAAGCAGAGGUCACAGAAGCCUAAGAGACUUAACUGGUGGGGGUGGGGAGACUUCCUGGGGGCUCACAGUUUUGCCUAGACCUGGGCAGGGAAUGAAUGCACUGAGCCAAGAGUGCUGACAGUUAACUUUAGGGCACUUACAAGAACCUCGUGAAUUAAAUGCUAUCAACAUUCCCAGUUUAUGGAUGAGGUCGGGUGACAUGCUUCCCAGCUAGUGGCAGGACAAGAAUUUGAACCCCCCCGUCCCCCAUCAGUGGCAUAGCUCAGCAUCGAGGCACAGGCUCACCUUCAUCUGCUUGGGGUUUUUUUCCACCUGCUUGUUGAAUCCUCACAAGCACAUACCAUGUUUUGAUGGGAGAGGAAAUUGGGGCCAUUCAUGGAAGGCCCCGCCCCCACGGGGCACCUCUGUGUGUCCCCUCCUCACCCAGGACAGCUGAGAGAGGGCAGCCCUCCACAAUCAACUGCCUGGAGCGGAGCGUGGAGGAGGACUUGCUGAGAAGUCUGAAGAGAGCAUUUCUCCAGACCUGUCCACACUGCCCCUAAUUGUUUUCUAAAAUACUUUUUAUUGAAUUAUCAGAGUGCAAUGGAAGAAUCGAUGAGAGUCACUGCGGAGUUACAAGGCCAGGGCUUGCUGGGCGGAGGAAAACAAAGCCCUAACAGCUCCCCGGGCCGAGCAAUGGUAUAAAAUAUGUAUUUUUACAUAACUGGGAGAAAAAAUAAACGGACACGGCUGCCCCAUGGGGGAAACGCCUCUUUCUGUAUUUCCAUUACCUUGUUUAAUGCACGGUCCAGCAGGGGCCUCAGUGGGAAAGGAACACUGGAGCCUUUUCCCUCCGAGCCUCCUGGUGGGUUAAGAGGCAGAGAAAGCCAAGAUGCAGAAAUCCAAAUGGCUUGGGCGUGUGCUCAGAAACCCAUUUACACUGAGGGGCAGGUGGGGAAACCCAUUAAAACUGAGGGGACAGACAGGUUGAGGGGGCCUGAGCUGACCCUAAAGAGUGUCUUGCUCUGAGACAUCACCUCUCCUCUGGGCUUGAGAAAGUAGCUUCAUAGGCCCAGAUUUACCUUUAAGCUCUGGGCAAAAUAUUCUAAACAUGGCCUUCCCCAUGAGAAAGGGGGUGGUCCUUUCCAAAGAACAACCUCCUCCACGCCAAACAUUUAUGGAGCUGUUGCUACUAGGUGCCGAGUACUCUGCUUCGUGAUUUUCUUGCAUUAGCGCCUAUCAGCCCACUCAUAGAUGAGAACACGGACUCACCAAGGUCGCAAGGUUAACAUUAAAGGGCAGAUUGGAAACUGCAGCCCCCGCCGGAAGGCUAGCCCGGGCCACAGGAGGUGAAGCUAACAGAGGAAAGGGCCUUAAAAUGAG
Molecule: long non-coding RNA, 2342 nt
Organism: Artibeus jamaicensis (Jamaican fruit-eating bat)
Lineage: Eukaryota; Metazoa; Chordata; Mammalia; Chiroptera; Phyllostomidae
Exons: 3
Source: RefSeq, a predicted model, not a curated record